Molecule: long non-coding RNA, 1210 nt
Organism: Pogonomyrmex barbatus (red harvester ant)
Lineage: Eukaryota; Metazoa; Arthropoda; Insecta; Hymenoptera; Formicidae
Source: RefSeq, a predicted model, not a curated record
GGCAUUACAUCGUGGUAUGAGCGUGUAAUCCAGCGCUGUUCCGACGUAGUAUUUGGAACAACGUGAAAGUACGUGGUCACACGGGGCCACGUGCGAUCGGACCACCACUGCCGAUCGUUUUUCGCAAGUGGUUCAGGUACGCGGAUGUGAUUAUUCCUGAUUUACGGUCGAUUAAUCUCGAAUGAUUACGAAUUUCUGUGAUUGGAAAGCGCGUUCAUUGUUUCCACGUUAAAAAUGUGGGAAUGUAGAAUAUUAAGUCAGAUAAAAGUCGAUCCAGCGAGAGACAAAACGCAUCUGUGGCUAGUAAAUGCCAUCAUCAUAAUUCUAAUAAUAGAAAUCUAUUGCUUGUGUUGCCGACCUCAAUGACGUAAAUUAUACGUUUACAGAAUAAGAACAGGAAAAGUCGCGCGCAUUUUAUGUAGUGUGAUUAUCAAAAUAUACACUGUACAAGUGCAUAUUUUGAUUAAAAAUGCUGAGGCAUAUCCAAUGAUUCAAUUGGUCUCAAUCUAUAUCAGCUUUUCCGAAAUUUUUUGCCAAGGAAAAUCUCUCGUUCGGAAUUCGUUAUAAAAACUGUUGAAACUUUAUACGAACUUUCAUUUCAAAUUGGAACAUCGUGUAUAUUGCAGAACCUGUCGUAAAACGGCAAAGUUGAAUCGCGAUGACAAGCAACACGGAGAGAACAGAAAAGUUGCUCAAUAAAAACGUGGUCGAUCGAUGUGAAUGUAAAUUCGAUGGAGACAUUUAUGCGGGACGUUUAUUUAAAGAUUUUGCAAUAUUGAAAAACGGGAAAUGAAUUCAUCGGCAAGAAAUCGCCAAGAAUCUUAUAUCUCAAUUUUUUCUUCUCCUUAAAUUACUUUAAUCACUAACCGUUCAUACGAAAAUACAAGUCGCGUAUUGCUGCACUGUCGUCAUUGAAUUUCGUAAUGCUCAAUACACACUUAAUGCAAUAAUAAUUUUUCAAACUUGGUGCUAACGUUAUUAAAAAAUUGUGAUCAAAAAUAAAUUUGUGUAAAUCAUAAAAGUUUGCACCGGAAUCACAGGCAAAAUUAUCAGACAAAAUGAUAAAAUGAGAUAAUCCAAUCUUAUCUAUUUAUCUAUCUGAAAUAAAUGUUAUCUACUUUGCAAAAAUGUCUCUAAAUAUAUUAAUAAACUAUAAAUAGUAUGAACGUAUAGUAUGACGUGUAUACACGAAUAUUUACAAUUUGGAUGC